This 424-nucleotide ribosomal RNA is filed under the name Priestia megaterium. RNAcentral's name for it is "bacterial SSU rRNA". It matches the Rfam family "Bacterial small subunit ribosomal RNA", at positions 379 to 794 of the family's 1533-position model. The record is from RNAcentral. Lineage: Bacteria; Bacillati; Bacillota; Bacilli; Caryophanales; Bacillaceae.
AAGUCUGAACGGAGCAACGCCGCGUGAGUGAUGAAGGCUUUCGGGUCGUAAACUCUGUUGUUAGGGAAGAACAAGUACAAGAGUAACUGCUUGUACCUUGACGGUACCUAACCAGAAAGCCACGGCUAACUACGUGCCAGCAGCCGCGGUAAUACGUAGGUGGCAAGCGUUAUCCGGAAUUAUUGGGCGUAAAGCGCGCGCAGGCGGUUUCUUAAGUCUGAUGUGAAAGCCCACGGCUCAACCGUGGAGGGUCAUUGGAAACUGGGGAACUUGAGUGCAGAAGAGAAAAGCGGAAUUCCACGUGUAGCGGUGAAAUGCGUAGAGAUGUGGAGGAACACCAGUGGCGAAGGCGGCUUUUUGGUCUGUAACUGACGCUGAGGCGCGAAAGCGUGGGGAGCAAACAGGAUUAGAUACCCGCGGUAGU